UCUCUGAUCUCGCUUCCUCAUUCCUGAAUACUAUUUUGUCUUGAGCAUGGGUCAGUAUUACAGUCCUAAUAUUACAUUUUUAUUAUUAUUCAUUAUUAUUAUUAUUAUUAUUAUUUAUUCGCCUCUGGAGGAGGAGGUUCCCGAAGCCGGGUGUUAGGCGUGUUGCAAGGGAUAUUUAUGUUGCACUGAGUACGCAGGCGACGUCGAGUCGAGUAGCUACGUUGGAAACAUCCGUUGCUUGUUGGAGCUGUGAAAAGAAGCGUGAGAACAAAGAACCCCAGGGAGGCUCAAAAUACCUGUGUAAAGGAAGAGUAAUAUCACAGACAUUAUUUUCAAAGCAGUGCCUUGUUCUCCUUCAAGAAGAGACUUGCAGCCAGCAACCUCAGAGACAGAGAAAGCCGACCUCUCCAGACGUGACUAAAACUGUAUGCACCAGCACCGCUGCACACAGGCUCUUGCCCGAUCUCCCAGCAGCAAGUACAGCCCUGGCUACCAGCUGGGCAACUUCACUGCUGUGCCUCUUCUGGUCUCUGCUCUCUGCAUGCAGUUACAAACCAGAAAGCGCUGCUGGGGGAUGUUAUAGACCUAAACCUGCCUGAGCCGGGGUCCUCGAUUCCCCUUGGGAAGGGCAGAAGCGGGGCAUGAGGCUGCCUGUGGGGGAGGCAGCAGAACCACAGGGCACGGCUGAACUGUGCCAGGAGUUUCAUCCUUUAAACCGCAGACAUUUCUGACAGUCCUUACUGGCUGGCACAGGGGAGCUGAAGGGUUGGCUGGAAGGAAUCUUCAGAGUAAGGUGGGAAUUACCAUGGGGUAUGAGCAAGUGAUUCAUUAAAAUUUGCUUAGUGAUAUUUACUGUGGUCCUCAGGCAUCGUAAGAAAGUGGAAAGAAAUGAGCAAAACUACAAUAACCCUGCAAGGGUGAAAGAAGUGAGACUGGAGCAACUUCAGGCUCCUUGACCCUGAAGAGCCUCGUUGGGAUGAGAACAGCAGCUUGAUUUAAAAGAGCUCAGUGAUGAGGCAUAUUUUUAAUAGCUGUUUUGAGUUAAUCUGCAUUAAGCACCCAUUAACUUUCCCAAUGAGCCCAGGAACAGAGGCAGCAGAACAAAGCAACACAACCCCCUGACACCUGGGGGUCAAGACCAUGAAGAAGGCAAGAAAGGCAAAAAUGUGUAUUUCCACGCUAGAGAAGAAGAACUGACGGGGAACCCAGUUACCCCAUUCCCUCUUACUGGUGGGAUCCUUUCCCUGAAAAAGGUGAUUCACUCAGGACUGCUUGCACUGCAAGAUUAAAUAACUUUCAUGUAUAAAAUGUGGUAUAGAUUAUUUUCAGGUUCUGCUAUCUCCCCGUCUUGCCAUUAGAAGAAAUAAGUUUCCAGAAUGAAGGGAGAUGGGGGUGGGGGUGCAAAAGAUUUUUGACUGCGAAGCACAACAUAUGUUAAUGUGAAGCUGAACAGCUUUCCAAGCAACAUAUUCCAGUCAAGCUAUUAGUAACACCUGAUGUACCCAUGAUUCCUCAUUAGUUACCUGCCAGCAAUGAGCAAUUGACUUAAUAUUUUCAUUUGUCUUCCUUUUCCCCUCCUUCUCUCCCACCAAUUAAGCAUCUGUUAAUCAUGAGAAAUAAUCUGCCUCUUGGAAAACAUGGGACAAACAGUGAGUUUUUUGUAAUAAAACGGAAUAUUAUUAUAAAUAAUCA
Struthio camelus australis is the source of this 1692-nucleotide long non-coding RNA. The record is from Ensembl. NCBI's taxonomy places the organism in Eukaryota, Metazoa, Chordata, Aves, Struthioniformes, Struthionidae.